RNAcentral lists this ribosomal RNA (492 nucleotides) under uncultured bacterium. RNAcentral describes it as "partial 16S ribosomal RNA". It matches the Rfam family "Bacterial small subunit ribosomal RNA", at positions 29 to 507 of the family's 1533-position model. The record is from RNAcentral.
AGUGAACGCUGGCGGUAGGCCUAACACAUGCAAGUCGAACGGCAGCACAGUAAGAGCUUGCUCUUACGGGUGGCGAGUGGCGGACGGGUGAGGAAUACAUCGGAAUCUACUUUUUCGUGGGGGUUAACGUAGGGAAACUUACGCUAAUACCGCAUACGACCUACGGGUGAAAGCAGGGGAUCUUCGGACCUUGCGCGAUUGAAUGAGCCGAUGUCGGAUUAGCUAGUUGGCGGGGUAAAGGCCCACCAAGGCGACGAUCCGUAGCUGGUCUGAGAGGAUGAUCGGCCGCACUGGAACUGAGACACGGUCCAGACUCCUACGGGAGGCAGCAGUGGGGAAUAGUGGACAAUGGGCGCAAGCCUGAUCCAGCCAUACCGCGUGGGUGAAGAAGGCCUUCGGGUUGUAAAGCCCUUUUGUUGGGAAAGAAAAGCAGCAGGUUAAUACCCCGCUGUUCUGACGGUACCCAAAGAAUAAGCACCGGCUAACUUCGUG